This 254-nucleotide ribosomal RNA is filed under the name uncultured bacterium. Its description in RNAcentral is "partial 16S ribosomal RNA". It matches the Rfam family "Bacterial small subunit ribosomal RNA", at positions 524 to 776 of the family's 1533-position model. The record is from RNAcentral.
UACGUAGGGUCCGAGCGUUGUCCGGAAUUAUUGGGCGUAAAGGGCUCGUAGGCGGUUUGUCGCGUCGGGAGUGAAAACUCAGGGCUCAACCCUGAGCGUGCUUCCGAUACGGGCAGACUAGAGGUAUGCAGGGGAGAACGGAAUUCCUGGUGUAGCGGUGGAAUGCGCAGAUAUCAGGAGGAACACCGGUGGCGAAGGCGGUUCUCUGGGCAUUACCUGACGCUGAGGAGCGAAAGCCAUGGGGAGCGAACAGG